UCGUGUUCGAGCAAGGAAGUCGACUGGCGACUGCUUCGUGUGGAAUAAAAACAGACUGCAUAUUGGUUCCCGUCUAAUUACAAGAAUUGCAAAUUGUUUUAUUGCCGAGGUAUACCUUCGUUUUUUGAUCUAUGAUCGGUUGGCUGGUGUAUAAACUCGACGGUGCAUUGACAGAGACAACAAGUCCGAAACUCUAACCAACAAGCGACUCGCUUAUACGAUGUCGAUUCAGAUUACGAUUUGACUAUUGCUGACAAUAGAUGCGGUCGUCUCAUUGCGAGCUACGGUAAUUGGAUUUCCCACGAGAAAUGUGAUCACUUGAAGUUCUUCUUCUUCUUCUUCUCAGCGCCAUCGCGGCAUUGCGAGAAGGAACAAGUAGCAAUUCGACUUGAAUGCAAUCCAUUUCCGACAGCUAGGAGAAACUUCAUCGCUGAUUGACCGACGGAACUGUGGAUAUUACUUGGUCAAAGUCUACUCUGCUGCACCUGCUAACGAGCCUGGAUACCUACACUGAAAUCUGAGAAGAGGAGUCGAUCCCUCGUUGUUUUACGUUGACAUUGGACGCUGUGUGGACCGUUAGACAACCUGGGCUCAAAACGCGAAGACCGACUCCCGUUGUAGCAGCACCCGACUUUCAUCUCCAGCGACCCCGUGGUCGAAGCGCUGCAAUCCAUACAUCAGAAGCCACUGCUACAUUCUUAGUGGUAUACCGUGCACAUGCAUGGUGCUCAUAACGCCGAGGAGUAGGAGCAAGCCACCGGGUACGGUUAAGCCCAUUACACAAUGUGACGUGAACGUAGGGAAUAUGAGAAUACUAUAGUACAUGUAUUGAUAGAAAUGGUACAAGACCCGAGAGUCUUGUUGCAGUUGCGAACAAUCAAC
Molecule: long non-coding RNA, 882 nt
Organism: Neodiprion virginianus
Lineage: Eukaryota; Metazoa; Arthropoda; Insecta; Hymenoptera; Diprionidae
Exons: 3
Source: RefSeq, a predicted model, not a curated record